This 450-nucleotide ribosomal RNA is filed under the name uncultured bacterium. RNAcentral's name for it is "bacterial SSU rRNA". It matches the Rfam family "Bacterial small subunit ribosomal RNA", at positions 355 to 825 of the family's 1533-position model. The record is from RNAcentral.
UCAAGAAACUUCCACAAUGGGCGAAAGCCUGAUGGAGCGACGUCGCGUGAUGGACGAAGUGCUUCGGCACGUAAACAUCUUUUAUGUGGGAUGAAAUUAUUGACAGUACCACAUGAAUAAGGGGCUCCUAACUCUGUGCCAGCAGGAGCGGUAAUACAGAGGCCCCAAGCGUUAUCCGGAAUCACUGGGCGUAAAGGGUGUCGAGGCGGUUGUAUUAGUCGUUCGUAAAAUCUACGAGCUUAACUUGUAGGCGGCGAACGAAACGGUACGACUUGAGGUUUGGAGAGGUGCGUGGAACUCACGGUGUAGCGGUGAAAUGCGUAGAUAUCAAGAGGAACACCUGAGGCGAAGGCGGGUUGCUGGGCUGAUACUGACGCUGAAGCGCGAAAGCUAGGGUAGCAAACGGGAUUAGAUACCCUAGUAGUCCCUGAGCGGGCUGGCAAGGCGCAU